This 428-nucleotide ribosomal RNA is filed under the name uncultured bacterium. RNAcentral describes it as "bacterial SSU rRNA". It matches the Rfam family "Bacterial small subunit ribosomal RNA", at positions 355 to 775 of the family's 1533-position model. The record is from RNAcentral.
UCGAGGAUCUUUCGCAAUGGGCGAAAGCCUGACGGAGCGACGCUGUGUGAGUGAUGAAGGCCUUCGGGUCGUAAAACUCUUUUGCCUGUGAACAAGAAAGAUUCGUGAAUAACGAGUUAAUUUGAGAGUAGCGGGAGAAAAAGCACCGGCUAACUACGUGCCAGCAGCUGCGGUAAUACGUAGGGUGCAAGCAUUAAUCGGAAUUAUUGGGCGUAAAGGGCGCGUAGGCGGAUUGAUAAGUCAGAUGUGAAAUACCAAAGCUCAACUUUGGUGCUGCAUUUGAAACUGUCUUUCUAGAGGAUUGACGGAGAAAGGGGAAUUCCACGAGUAGCGGUGAAAUGCGUAGAUACGUGGAGGAACACCGGUGGCGAAGGCGCCUUUCUAGUUUAGACCUGACGCUGAGGCGCGAGAGCAAGGGGAGCAAACAG